Molecule: ribosomal RNA, 253 nt
Filed under: uncultured bacterium
Lineage: Bacteria
Description: partial 16S ribosomal RNA
Rfam family: Bacterial small subunit ribosomal RNA
Source: RNAcentral
UACAGAGGGGGCAAGCGUUAUUCGGAAUUAUUGGGCGUAAAGGGCGCGUAGGCGGCUUUUCAAGUGACGGGUGAAAUCCCACGGCUUAACCGAGGAACUGCCUGUCAGACUGGAAGGCUUGAGACCGGGAGAGGUGAGUGGAAUUCCCAGUGUAGCGGUGAAAUGCGUAGAUAUUGGGAGGAACACCAGUGGCGAAGGCGGCUCACUGGACCGGAACUGACGCUGAGGCGCGAAAGCGUGGGGAGCAAACAGG